Molecule: ribosomal RNA, 451 nt
Filed under: uncultured Fibrobacter sp.
Lineage: Bacteria; Pseudomonadati; Fibrobacterota; Fibrobacteria; Fibrobacterales; Fibrobacteraceae
Description: partial 16S ribosomal RNA
Rfam family: Bacterial small subunit ribosomal RNA
Source: RNAcentral
ACGGAAGGCAGCAGUAGGGAGUAUUGCACAAUGGGGGAAACCCUGAUGCAGCAACGCCACGUGUGGGAAGAAGCAUUUCGGUGUGUAAACCACUGUCGUGAGGGAAUAAUGCUUGGUCUCGGCCAAGUUGAAUGUACCUCGAAAGGAAGCACCGGCAAACUUCGUGCCAGCGGCCGCGGUAAUACGAGGGGUGCAAGCGUUGUUCGGAAUCACUGGGCGUAAAGGGAGCGCAGGCGGAGAUGCAAGCAGUCUGUACAAUACCGGGGCCCAACCCCGGACCUGCAGACUGGACUGUUUCUCUUGGAUAGUUCAGGGGCAAGCGGAAUUCCUGGUGUAGCGGUGGAAUGCGUAGAGAUCAGGAAGAACACCGAUGGCGAAGGCAGCUUGCUGGGGACUUAUCGACGCUCAUGCUCGAAGGUGCGGGUAGCAAACAGGAUUAGAUACCCUGGUA